UCGGGAAUUUUGGGCAAUGGGCGAAAGCCUGACCCAGCAACGCCGCGUGAGGGAUGAAGUAUUUCGGUAUGUAAACCUCGAAAGAAUGGGAAGAAUAAAUGACGGUACCAUUUAUAAGCUCCGGCUAACUACGUGCCAGCAGCCGCGGUAAUACGUAGGGAGCAAGCGUUGUUCGGAUUUACUGGGCGUAAAGGGCGCGUAGGCGGCGCGGUAAGUCACUUGUGAAAUCUCUGAGCUUAACUCAGAACGGCCAAGUGAUACUGCUGUGCUAGAGUGCGGGAGAGGCAACCGGAAUUCUUGGUGUAGCGGUGAAAUGCGUAGAUAUCAAGGGGAACACCUGAGGCGAAGGCGGGUUGCUGGGCCGACACCGACGCUGAUGCGCGAAAGCCAGGGGAGCAAACG
This 402-nucleotide ribosomal RNA is filed under the name uncultured bacterium. RNAcentral's name for it is "bacterial SSU rRNA". It matches the Rfam family "Bacterial small subunit ribosomal RNA", at positions 355 to 774 of the family's 1533-position model. The record is from RNAcentral.